Molecule: ribosomal RNA, 163 nt
Filed under: Osmanthus fragrans
Lineage: Eukaryota; Viridiplantae; Streptophyta; Magnoliopsida; Lamiales; Oleaceae
Description: 5.8S ribosomal RNA
Rfam family: 5.8S ribosomal RNA
About the family: 5.8S ribosomal RNA (5.8S rRNA) is a component of the large subunit of the eukaryotic ribosome. It is transcribed by RNA polymerase I as part of the 45S precursor that also contains 18S and 28S rRNA. Functionally, it is thought that 5.8S rRNA may be involved in ribosome translocation.
Source: RNAcentral
AAACGACUCUCGGCAACGGAUAUCUUGGCUCUCGCAUCGAUGAAGAACGCAGCAAAAUGUGAUACUUGGUGUGAAUUGCAGAAUCCCGUGAACCAUCGAGUUUUUGAACGCAAGUUGCGCCCGAAGCCAUUAUGCUGAGGGCACGUCUGCCUGGGCGUCACGC